AGAAUCAACGCUGGCGGCGGUGCCUAACACAUGCAAGUCGCACGAGAAAGGGGAGCAAUCCCUGAGUAAAGUGGCGCACGGGUGAGUAACACGUGAAUAAUCUACCUCCGAGUGGGGAAUAACUGAGAGAAAUCUUAGCUAAUACCGCAUAACACUUACGAGUCAAAGCAGCAAUGCGCUUGGAGAGGAGUUCGCGGCCGAUUAGUUAGUUGCGGGGUAAUGGCCACCAAGACGAUGAUCGGUA
Molecule: ribosomal RNA, 244 nt
Filed under: uncultured bacterium
Lineage: Bacteria
Description: partial small subunit ribosomal RNA
Rfam family: Bacterial small subunit ribosomal RNA
Source: RNAcentral